Long non-coding RNA from Gasterosteus aculeatus aculeatus (three-spined stickleback), 1963 nucleotides. The record is from Ensembl. Lineage: Eukaryota; Metazoa; Chordata; Actinopteri; Perciformes; Gasterosteidae.
CCUCCCGCUCCUUCCCCCGCUUCCUCCCCUGUGUGGGUCUUAUGGGAUUCUCCGGUUGUUCUUAACAUGAUUAUUAUUUUAAAACAGGAUGGUGCUUCACAAAAUGGGUAUUCAGCUCAUGAGAUGCGGCUCACCUCCUGUUAGCAGACUGCUAGUCUGUUCCUGGAGGCAAUGAAAAGCAGCAUCUCCUCUAAUUCAUCACCAUCCGAAGGGAGAGAGAAGAACGAGAGACGUUCAAGAGUCAUCAGAGUGGAUGUCUGCACCUUUAUAUCCUGUGCAAAUAUGUGUUUAAUGAGAAAAUAUUUUCCACCUGGAAUUACAAAUGUGUCUUUGCUCCCUGCUUACAAACAUCUUCUUUGAGACGUCGACCUGUUACAAUUGCAGUUUAAUCUGAAAUGGAAUUACGGCAGCAGUAAUUAGUUUAUAGAGGAGUCUAAUUGUCUUAUUGUGUUUAAAAAAAAUAUUCCUUUAUCUCCUCGGGAACUUUGAAAGGAGGAUAGCGUUUCCUUCCCACUGCCCCCCCCCUCCCUCCCCCCAUCAACUUCUCUCUUCCGCUGAGGCAGUACAACACAACUAUUCAUUCAAACCAAUAAUCUCAAAGUCAUUACCACUUAUCAAAAGGGCUGCGAAUUAAUUAUGUUAACUGCAAGAAUUUUCAUUAGAUCUUUAAAUGUGUACACUUCAUCAGUUCUGAGAACUCAAUUUGAUUACAGUUGAUUUCUUUCUACUUAAUGAGGCAAGCGUUUCUUUCUUUUCCCCCUGUCCCUUUUUUGUCUGUUUCUCUGUUUCUUCAUUAAUUGGAUUAUGAUCAAUGCAAGCUUUAAUGUUAUGGAAAACUUAACCGAAGCCUCAAUCUACCACGACACAGUUUUUGCGGCAGAAGAUUAGAGAACGUCGUAUCGUCAUUUGUCAAAUAUCAAACUGUCUUUCCUUAACGAUGUUGGAAUGAAACGCUGCUAAUCACUGCUGACGAACGCACGCUGCUGUUCUACAAAGAUAAUGAGUCUGCCAGAGUCAAAGGGAGCAACAAACACCCGAGCAGAGCCCAGAAGGAGGAGAUGAAACGUGACAUAUCAACAAAAUACAGAUACUCAAGUGCAACUACGGACUGACAACGACUGUUAGAGAUUUGACCCAAACGGAGCUGAGAGACACAGCGGGGAAGACGAAGUCAGAGACAUUACAGAGGCCCGUGUCAACCACCGGGGGACGCGAGGUGUGAAAGAGAGAAACAAAGUGAUAAAAAGGGGAAACGGAGUGAAGAGCUGAAGCAGGCAGGAAGGAUGAGGACUAAACACACUUUGAUGAGAGCUACUUGGAUGAAAAUCCUCCUUACUGGUGAUCCACCCGCCAAGAACUUUACCUCAUGAAGUAUACCUUCCACACCCCUGUAAACACACACACACACACACACACACACACACACACACACACACACACACACACAGACCAGCGAUUUAUAGACAGGUGAAAUGCACCUGUGCGUUUUAGCCUCAUCCACUCUGGACUCAAAAUGUCACACAGACACAUAAACACACUCACAGCAUGGCGGACACAAAUACACACACAGGUGCUGCCGGGUGGACCAUGGGGAAGAGAUGAGACCGCUCUCGCUCCACUGACUGGAAAACCUGAUCUUCUUACCUCAGCAAGUUCAGAUGGAGGGACUCAGUGGAGAGACAUCUGUGUGUGUGUGUGUGUGUGUGUGUGUGUGUGUGUGUGUGUGUGUGUGUGUGUGUGUGUGUGUGUGUGUGUGUGUGUGUGUGUGUGUGUGUGCGUGUGCUUUUGUAUGUCGUGAGAAGGAGAGCCAGAGCAAGAGCCUCAUCAGCAGAGCACAAGAUUGAGGAGCAAGUGAGAAAAAGAACGACGCUGGGUCCUUAGCUGUUGUCAUGGCAACACAUUAACAGGUCGUAGGGUAAACAGGUGACUUUUAGUUAGUCAAUCGCCCCAAAAAUGUGCAGAA